AGGUGCUGAUGGAGGGCCUUGGAGACGGUUAUGCGCAUUGCCUGCAUUCUGGGUGGGUAUACUCUACGAUGAGGGGUCUUUGCAAAGCGUUUUGGACAUGACAUUUGAUUGGACUGCAGAAGAAAGAGACAUGUUAAGGAAUAAGGUGCCAAAAAGUGGUCUGAAGACACCAUUUCGAGAUGGAUUGCUUAUGCAUGUUGCUCAAGAUGUUGUCAAGUUGGCAAAGGAAGGCUUGGAAAGAAGAGGCUUUAAGGAAACAGGAUUUCUGAACGAAGUAGCCGAGGUUGUUAAAACAGGUGUAACACCAGCUGAGAA
Molecule: unclassified non-coding RNA, 315 nt
Filed under: Hevea brasiliensis (rubber tree)
Lineage: Eukaryota; Viridiplantae; Streptophyta; Magnoliopsida; Malpighiales; Euphorbiaceae
Source: RNAcentral